GCCGGGGUGGCGGAAUGGCAGACGCAGUUGACUCAAAAUCAACCGGUUACGACCAUGCGGGUUCAAGUCCCGCCCUCGGUACCA
Molecule: transfer RNA, 84 nt
Filed under: bacterium
Lineage: Bacteria
Also listed under: 3 other names
Description: tRNA-Leu
Rfam family: tRNA
About the family: Transfer RNA (tRNA) molecules are approximately 80 nucleotides in length. Their secondary structure includes four short double-helical elements and three loops (D, anti-codon, and T loops).
Source: RNAcentral